Molecule: long non-coding RNA, 2500 nt
Organism: Hippocampus comes (tiger tail seahorse)
Lineage: Eukaryota; Metazoa; Chordata; Actinopteri; Syngnathiformes; Syngnathidae
Exons: 3
Source: RefSeq, a predicted model, not a curated record
AGGCUUCAGCACCCCCACAAUGGGCCUAACAAUGCCAUUGGAUGCGACAUUUGGAUAUAUUAAUAAUGCUCCAAAUACAUCCAACAAAUCUCACGACACUGCGAUAUCUGUGCUCAGUCAUCAAAGCGUCACAAUCUGCUAUCGGUCCGUGCCUACUCCAAAGAGGGCGACCAUUCCCCAUCAGAUCAAGUCGCUAUGUGGUGGAAAACCCUUCGGGGCUGCAAAUUAUUUUCACCGUUCCCACGAGCGUGUCAACCUAUCGGGUUGCACGUCACGCAUGCAAAAAACCACCGCCGCUUGCGUGCAGUCCGAUGGUCACGUUGAGGAGCCUUCCAUUUGUGACCGACAUGCAGCAGAAAAACAAGACUCAAAUGCAUCCAUCUAUAUUUAUUCCCAAAGAUUGCAUCCAGGCGUCCGGUCGAAAGAGCUGAUGGGAAUACAUCAAUAGUCUGCAUGGAUCCAUUUUAGCAUCUAUGAUGAUGAAGGAGAAGGGGGAAAAAAAGCCAUCCACAUAGCCUGGUUUCUUCCUGUUGCUAGGUAACAGUGAAAGGCUUGGCACGCAUAGCAGAGCUUCUGAAGCUGUGGAUGGCCCCGGUGUACGUGUGUGUGUGUGUGUGUGUGUGUGUCAUGAGAGAGAAACAGCACUGUCUUUCAGCAAGCACAAACUUAGCGAUCCUUACCAUGACACCUCCCCCGAUUCUUUCUCACCAGCUGUGGAAGUCAGAGCGGUGUCGGUGAUAUUUGGGAUGGUCUUUGAUAUUCUCGAGGUACUACCAAAUAAACGUGUCUGGCGAAACGGAUUUCAGACGGGAAGCUUGAAGGAAGACCUCUGUGAGAGGGAGAAUCCAUCUCAUAUUUGUCAGGAAGAGUGUUCUGGCAACCGGGUCAGGAUGUAGCCCGCCGCCUGCCCGAAAGACGGCCGGGACACGUUCCGGCACGACCCCGACCCUCCUGAGGAAAAAGCGGUUCAGAGAAUGGAUGGAGUGAGAUAUCAUUUCCUAUGUUUCUCUUCCUUGAGUCAUGAGGGUAUUUUGUCCCAAUUCCAACUCGAAUUUCUUUUGAACAGAACCUCAUUUUUAAAGCUCAUGAAAAUAGGUGCGAUGCGAGGACGAGUCUUCGUUUCUAUGUGUACGUUUCUUACAAGUCCAAAUCUUUCGCUGAACGUGCCCCGCAAAUUGUGUUGGCAUUUAUGUCGAUUUUGACGGCGAGUGGUUGGCGUCGAAAGCGCUCAAAGAUGGCCGACCUCACAUCAUGCAUGGUGUCUUGACAUCAACAUCAUUCGGCAUGAAAUCACUUUGAAAUAAGCAGCAAUAUCUGGGGUCAUGGAAACCCCAGCGGCUGGAAGCGUUCAUUUCAGAAGAGGCCUGGGAUUUUUUUUCCUGACGUCACGUCUCCUCUUCGCCGAUUGGUUCAAUUCGCUGUCUGUUUGUUCAGGUUUACCCCGCCUAAGAAAUCAGAUAGAUUAGACUGGGACCAGACUCAAUCGCUGCCGGUACUGCGAUGAGUCUGCAUUUCUAGGCUGCCGCUCACUAACUGGAAGAAAUUCUGAUCGCUUCUCAGUCCUUUUCAUGAUACUUUUGUAGUACCGUUACUAGUGAUAAUUAAUAAAACUACAAAACUAACCUGAGUAAAUGUAAAUGUUACCUUAAUGCGUUACUUAGUAAACCCUACCGUUGCUCCACGGGAUGCAAAAUAAAUACCAUCAAAUUAUACAAAAUCAUCAUGCAUACAAACAGAGAGUUGGAUUGCUUUCAACAAUAUGUGUCAUACGUAUCAAAGCAUUUACACAAUACAGGGGGAUUGUAGAAAUUGAUAAUUUCUUCCGACAAGCUCUCCGUUUUUUUUUUGUUGUUGUUUUUUGCUGUGGAUUUGUCUCACCGAGACUGCUACUUACACACCGGAUCGUUGCCGAACCAAGCUCCCAAUAGUGACUUUCAAAACAAAGGCACAUUUGGCGCCUUCGCCUCAGCCUCAAUGUGAAAUGCAUUCCUGAUACACGGCCCUUUCUGAACGCCUGCUUCAAAUUUCAUGACUUUUGAAAAAUGAUACAUUCGUGUCGUUGAAGUAACGACGACGUAACUCGUUGAAGGUCCGCUUUCAGACCGGCUAUCAAAUAACCGUGGCGGAGCAUGCUCGCUUUUAUUGUGAAAACCGUGAGCGGACAUACUCGUGUUCACGCUAAGUGACGCUCCCUCGUUGCCGCCGGCUGCGAACAGGAUGCUGUCAGGCCGAAAGGACGCAGCGACCGAGCGGAUGGCGAGCCGAGCCGCAUCCUUUGUUUUCCCGGACCCAACAUCAAGGCGCUUCUGAGGAGGAGAAAGCGGCACACGACCAAGUGUGGAAAACCCAAGCGGUCGUCUCAAUCCUCAAGCCAAGCUGCGAUGCUCUGAAACGUCACAGGUAUAGCUCUGCUAAGAACAGACAGCGAGGAGCGCUGAAGCGAGGGUGUUGACUGACAGAGGGGGGUUACUUUUGCUUGACUCCCCGUCUUCUGGUAUUC